RNAcentral lists this long non-coding RNA (1126 nucleotides) under Panax ginseng (ginseng). RNAcentral describes it as "long non-coding RNA (PGIN_LNC003074)". The record is from RNAcentral. Lineage: Eukaryota; Viridiplantae; Streptophyta; Magnoliopsida; Apiales; Araliaceae.
UAAGUUGUUGGAUUGCAUAAGAUAUUGUAGUAGGUUGAGCUUUAAUAUCUCCUGAAUAUGCUAAAUCUACAGAAACUAAAUAACGCAGAUACAGUUUUGAGUUUGGUUGGAACUUUGUAUACUAGAUCGAGACACUUGAGAAUUCCCACCUCCCCACUUUUGACACAUACACAUGUAAAUAUGAAUUUUAUUUUAGAUAUCUUCUUGCUGAAUAUUAUUUACUUCACUUGAGCUUGAAAAAUUUACGUGGUGGAUAAGAAUUGAUUGAUUGAUCUACUAAUCAAGUAACUAAUGUCAUAUUUUAUACUAAAAAAACACACUAUUUUAUAUGAAACACAACUUACGAAGUUACAAAUAUGUAACUUGGUAAAAUUUUGUGCAAAUAUGAGUACUCAGUGAUGGUUACCUUCCUAGGAUUCACAAGUUACAUAUUCUUAAGUGUUCCCUUAACAUGGUUUCAAUACAUAAGCAGGGUUGAGAAUUUUGCUUCUUGUUUAUAGUAUUAAAAUUAAUAAGGCAAUGUUUUAUGACUGAAUAAGCCUCAAUACUUGAUGGGUUGUCUAUGGUGAUUGGAUUAGUUUUUUAAUCUAAGUAGGUGGACCUUUGGUGUUUUUUUUUAAAAUUUAUUUUAUAUAGUUUAUUUUUAUAUUUAUCAUUCAACCAUAAUUCAUGAAUUGGUAGACACAGGUUUUCAUAGUACAUGGUUUGCUCAAAUCCUCAACAUCUAUAUUGUUUUAAUUGGUUAGGGUCUACAACACAAGCAGAUGUUACAAAGUGUUCUUUAUUUUUCCUAUCUAUGUGUGUAUCCCCACUUUCCCGGUCCUGUUUUUUGCUUUUCUUAAGGUUUUGGUGAGUUUGUGUUGGGAUCAAAUUUGUAUUUGCUAUUUAUGUUGCUCCCAUUCUUAGUAUAGUAGAGUUUUACAUGGGCAUCUUUGGCAGUAGUAGCAUAGGUGUUUUUUAUUUUGUGCCCAUUGUAUACAUUGCGUUGAAAGGGAUUUCCCCUUUUUGAUGUCUUUUGAGAUCAUUAUUUUACUUAUUAAAAACGUUCAAUCAGUUGACAUGUCACCAGGGAUAAGCUGACCAUAAUCAGUUGAGAUAUUUUGAACGAGGGUUGGCCUGAUGUAGG